CUUCUUUUUCCACCGGAGCUUGCUCCACCGGAAAAAGAGGAGUGGCGAACGGGUGAGUAACACGUGGGUAACCUGCCCAUCAGAAGGGGAUAACACUUGGAAACAGGUGCUAAUACCGUAUAACAAUCGAAACCGCAUGGUUUUGAUUUGAAAGGCGCUUUCGGGUGUCGCUGAUGGAUGGACCCGCGGUGCAUUAGCUAGUUGGUGAGGUAACGGCUCACCAAGGCCACGAUGCAUAGCCGACCUGAGAGGGUGAUCGGCCACAUUGGGACUGAGACACGGCCCAAACUCCUACGGGAGGCAGCAGUAGGGAAUCUUCGGCAAUGGACGAAAGUCUGACCGAGCAACGCCGCGUGAGUGAAGAAGGUUUUCGGAUCGUAAAACUCUGUUGUUAGAGAAGAACAAGGAUGAGAGUAACUGUUCAUCCCUUGACGGUAUCUAACCAGAAAGCCACGGCUAACUACGUGCCAGCAGCCGCGGUAAUACGUAGGUGGCAAGCGUUGUCCGGAUUUAUUGGGCGUAAAGCGAGCGCAGGCGGUUUCUUAAGUCUGAUGUGAAAGCCCCCGGCUCAACCGGGGAGGGUCAUUGGAAACUGGGAGACUUGAGUGCAGAAGAGGAGAGUGGAAUUCCAUGUGUAGCGGUGAAAUGCGUAGAUAUAUGGAGGAACACCAGUGGCGAAGGCGGCUCUCUGGUCUGUAACUGACGCUGAGGCUCGAAAGCGUGGGGAGCAAACAGGAUUAGAUACCCUGGU
Molecule: ribosomal RNA, 751 nt
Filed under: bacterium enrichment culture clone WG_238
Lineage: Bacteria
Description: bacterial SSU rRNA
Rfam family: Bacterial small subunit ribosomal RNA
Source: RNAcentral